CACGAACCCAACAUUAACAUGUUUAUUCGAUUUACUUCUACGUGCUCUAUUACUCUUAAACAACACAUUAGCAAUAAAUAAUUAAGCAAUCAUACACGACACCAAAUUAAAGGCGUUUAAGCACAUCAAUUUUUGGAGAAACUACGUAAAUUAAAUACACUCAGCCAAAACGGAAUCCACAUGGAUCUGAUUCCAGGAAAGGAAUGGGAAUGUGCAAAGUGCUCAAAAACUUUUGAUACUUUUGACGUAUUGGCCAGACACGUGGUCACGCACGAUCCCAAUGCCACGCUGAAGUGUGAGGUUUGCAGCAAAAUUUGCAAAAUAGACGCGGCUUAUCAUGACAGGUGUGGAGAAUUCACACCAAACGGCAACGACCAAGUUGUCCCACUUGUCACGGCUUGUUUUAAGACUCCACCGCUUUACGCAGACACACCGAAGCCUUCCACGGAACAAAGAAUAUACAGUCAAUGGAACAAAUUUCUCGGCUGUGAGAAAACCUUCUUGAAUAAACGCCAACUUACGAGACACGUAAAAGCUGAACAUGCCGAUAUUCCGGUCCGAUUUCCGUGUACACUUUGCGGGAAAGACUUCAAAACUAGGACUUGCCUUGACCAACACAUUCUCACUCACACGACGGAGAAACGGUAGAAUUGUACCACCUGUGGGAGGGGUUUUACCCAGAGGCCACACCUGAGACGUCACGAGACAACGCAUUUGAAAAAAUUUCGCUAUCACGUCUGCCCACAGGCCUUCUUAAGUUUGAACUAUUUACAAAGCCACAUCCGAGUUGUGCAUGGAAAUCAGAGGGAUUAUCCGUGCACAUUUUGUGAUAAGAGUUUCUCA
Molecule: long non-coding RNA, 843 nt
Organism: Folsomia candida
Lineage: Eukaryota; Metazoa; Arthropoda; Collembola; Entomobryomorpha; Isotomidae
Exons: 5
Source: RefSeq, a predicted model, not a curated record